AUUGUCUCUCAGUAGAUACAGUGUAAUGUGUAAGCACUCAACAAUGCGCCAUAGAAGACAUCAUCAAAUGCAGGCAGAGUACAGUUCAAUACGCAUUUCCCCUGAGUUUCUCAUUGUAGAAAUAUGAGCAAGGCUCUCAGUGCAACUUAAAAAAAAAAAAGACAUUAGGAAAUACUCAGAGAACAGUGCAGCAUCCGGCUCCACACAUAAGGAGAUUAGUGAG
Pelobates cultripes (western spadefoot toad) is the source of this 223-nucleotide non-coding RNA. Lineage: Eukaryota; Metazoa; Chordata; Amphibia; Anura; Pelobatidae. The record is from the annotation of a GenBank genome assembly.